UUAAGCGACUAAGCGUACACGGUGGAUGCCCUGGCAGUCAGAGGCGAUGAAGGACGUGCUAAUCUGCGAAAAGCGUCGGUAAGGUGAUAUGAACCGUUAUAACCGGCGAUGUCCGAAUGGGGAAACCCAGUGCAAUUCGUUGCACUAUCGUUAACUGAAUACAUAGGUUAACGAGGCGAACCGGGGGAACUGAAACAUCUAAGUACCCCGAGGAAAAGAAAUCAACCGAGAUUCCCCCAGUAGCGGCGAGCGAACGGGGAGCAGCCCAGAGUCUGAAUCAGCUUGUGUGUUAGUGGAACGGUCUGGAAAGUCCGACGGUACAGGGUGAUAGUCCCGUACACCAAAAUGCACAGGUUGUGAACUCGAAGAGUAGGGCGGGACACGUGGUAUCCUGUCUGAAUAUGGGGGGACCAUCCUCCAAGGCUAAAUACUCCUGACUGACCGAUAGUGAACCAGUACCGUGAGGGAAAGGCGAAAAGAACCCCGGCGAGGGGAGUGAAAAAGAACCUGAAACCGUGUACGUACAAGCAGUGGGAGCACCUUCGGGUGUGACUGCGUACCUUUUGUAUAAUGGGUCAGCGACUUAUAUUCUGUAGCAAGGUUAACCGUAUAGGGGAGCCGCAGGGAAACCGAGUCUUAACUGGGCGUUAAGUUGCAGGGUAUAGACCCGAAACCCGGUGAUCUAGCCAUGGGCAGGUUGAAGGUUGGGUAACACUAACUGGAGGACCGAACCGACUAAUGUUGAAAAAUUAGCGGAUGACUUGUGGCUGGGGGUGAAAGGCCAAUCAAACCGGGAGAUAGCUGGUUCUCCCCGAAAGCUAUUUAGGUAGCGCCUCGUGAACUCAUCUUCGGGGGUAGAGCACUGUUUCGGCUAGGGGGUCAUCCCGACUUACCAACCCGAUGCAAACUACGAAUACCGAAGAAUGUUAUCACGGGAGACACACGGCGGGUGCUAACGUCCGUCGUGAAGAGGGAAACAACCCAGACCGCCAGCUAAGGUCCCAAAGUCAUGGUUAAGUGGGAAACGAUGUGGGAAGGCACAGACAGCCAGGAUGUUGGCUUAGAAGCAGCCAUCAUUUAAAGAAAGCGUAAUAGCUCACUGGUCGAGUCGGCCUGCGCGGAAGAUGUAACGGGGCUAAACCAUGCACCGAAGCUGCGGCAGCGACACUAUGUGUUGUUGGGUAGGGGAGCGUUCUGUAAGCCUGCGAAGGUGACCUGUGAGGCAUGCUGGAGGUAUCAGAAGUGCGAAUGCUGACAUAAGUAACGAUAAAGCGGGUGAAAAGCCCGCUCGCCGGAAGACCAAGGGUUCCUGUCCAACGUUAAUCGGGGCAGGGUGAGUCGACCCCUAAGGCGAGGCCGAAAGGCGUAGUCGAUGGGAAACAGGUUAAUAUUCCUGUACUUGGUGUUACUGCGAAGGGGGGACGGAGAAGGCUAUGUUAGCCGGGCGACGGUUGUCCCGGUUUAAGCAUGUAGGCUGGUUAUCCAGGCAAAUCCGGAUAAUCAAGGCUGAGGUGUGAUGACGAGGCACUACGGUGCUGAAGUAACAAAUGCCCUGCUUCCAGGAAAAGCCUCUAAGCAUCAGGUAACAUCAAAUCGUACCCCAAACCGACACAGGUGGUCAGGUAGAGAAUACCAAGGCGCUUGAGAGAACUCGGGUGAAGGAACUAGGCAAAAUGGUGCCGUAACUUCGGGAGAAGGCACGCUGGUGUGUAGGUGAAGUCCCUGCGGAUGGAGCUGAGACCAGUCGAAGAUACCAGCUGGCUGCAACUGUUUAUUAAAAACACAGCACUGUGCAAACACGAAAGUGGACGUAUACGGUGUGACGCCUGCCCGGUGCCGGAAGGUUAAUUGAUGGGGUUAUCCGUAAGGAGAAGCUCUUGAUCGAAGCCCCGGUAAACGGCGGCCGUAACUAUAACGGUCCUAAGGUAGCGAAAUUCCUUGUCGGGUAAGUUCCGACCUGCACGAAUGGCGUAAUGAUGGCCAGGCUGUCUCCACCCGAGACUCAGUGAAAUUGAACUCGCUGUGAAGAUGCAGUGUACCCGCGGCAAGACGGAAAGACCCCGUGAACCUUUACUAUAGCUUGACACUGAACAUUGAGCCUUGAUGUGUAGGAUAGGUGGGAGGCUUUGAAGCGUGGACGCCAGUCUGCGUGGAGCCAACCUUGAAAUACCACCCUUUAAUGUUUGAUGUUCUAACGUUGGCCCCUUACCGGGGUUGCGGACAGUGUCUGGUGGGUAGUUUGACUGGGGCGGUCUCCUCCCAAAGCGUAACGGAGGAGCACGAAGGUUAGCUAAUCCUGGUCGGACAUCAGGAGGUUAGUGCAAUGGCAUAAGCUAGCUUGACUGCGAGCGUGACGGCGCGAGCAGGUGCGAAAGCAGGUCAUAGUGAUCCGGUGGUUCUGAAUGGAAGGGCCAUCGCUCAACGGAUAAAAGGUACUCCGGGGAUAACAGGCUGAUACCGCCCAAGAGUUCAUAUCGACGGCGGUGUUUGGCACCUCGAUGUCGGCUCAUCACAUCCUGGGGCUGAAGUAGGUCCCAAGGGUAUGGCUGUUCGCCAUUUAAAGUGGUACGCGAGCUGGGUUUAGAACGUCGUGAGACAGUUCGGUCCCUAUCUGCCGUGGGCGCUGGAGAAUUGAGGGGGGCUGCUCCUAGUACGAGAGGACCGGAGUGGACGCAUCACUGGUGUUCGGGUUGUCAUGCCAAUGGCACUGCCCGGUAGCUAAAUGCGGAAGAGAUAAGUGCUGAAAGCAUCUAAGCACGAAACUUGCCCCGAGAUGAGUUCUCCCUGAGACUUUAAGUCUCCUGAAGGAACGUUGAAGACGACGACGUUGAUAGGCCGGGUGUGUAAGCGCAGCGAUGCGUUGAGCUAACCGGUACUAAUGAACCGUGAGGCUUAACCUU
Molecule: ribosomal RNA, 2900 nt
Filed under: Klebsiella pneumoniae
Lineage: Bacteria; Pseudomonadati; Pseudomonadota; Gammaproteobacteria; Enterobacterales; Enterobacteriaceae
Description: bacterial LSU rRNA
Rfam family: Bacterial large subunit ribosomal RNA
Source: RNAcentral